GGCAGCCGCCGCGGUAAUACCGGCGGCUCGAGUGGUGGCCACUUUAUUGGGCUUAAAGCGUUCGUAGCUGGGUCGUUAAGUCUCUUGGGAAAUCCGGCAGCUUAACUGUCGGGCGUCUAAGAGAUACUGGCGAUCUGGAACCGGGAGAGGUGAGGGGUACUUCGGGGGGUAGGAGUGAAAUCCUGUAAUCCUCGAGGGACCACCUGUGGCGAAGGCGCCUCACCAGAACGGCUUCGACAGUGAGGGACGAAAGCUGGGGGAGCAAACCGGAUUAGAUACCCGGGUAGUCCCAGCCGUAAACGAUGUGCGUUAGGUGUAUCGACGACCACGAGUCGUCGAGGUGCCGAAGGGAAACCGUGAAACGUACCGCCUGGGAAGUACGGUCGCAAGGCUGAAACUUAAAGGAAUUGGCGGGGGAGCACCACAACAGGUGGAGCCUGCGGUCUUAAAUUGGACUCAACGCCGGGAAGCUCACCGGAUAAGACAGCUGAAUGAUUGCCGGGCUGAAGACUCUGCAUGACUAGCUGAGAAGAGGUGCAUGG
This 542-nucleotide ribosomal RNA is filed under the name uncultured archaeon. RNAcentral describes it as "bacterial SSU rRNA". It matches the Rfam family "Archaeal small subunit ribosomal RNA", at positions 457 to 997 of the family's 1478-position model. The record is from RNAcentral.